GACGAACGCUGGCGGCGUGCUUAACACAUGCAAGUCGAACGGAAAGGCUCCAGCUUGCUGGAGUACUCGAGUGGCGAACGGGUGAGUAACACGUGGGUAAUCUGCCCUGCACUCUGGGAUAAGCCUGGGGAACUGGGUCUAAUACUGGAUAUGACCUUUCUCCUUAUGGGGUUUGGUGGAAAGUUUUUCGGUGUAGGAUGAGCCCGCGGCCUAUCAGCUUGUUGGUGGGGUGAUGGCCUACCAAGGCGACGACGGGUAGCCGGCCUGAGAGGGUGAUCGGCCCCAUUGGGACUGAGAUACGGCCCAGACUCCUACGGGAGGCAGCAGUGGGGAAUAUUGCACAAUGGGCGGAAGCCUGAUGCAGCGACGCCGCGUGAGGGAUGACGGCCUUCGGGUUGUAAACCUCUUUCAGCAGGGACGAAGCGUAAGUGACGGUACCUGCAGAAGAAGCACCGGCUAACUAUGUG
RNAcentral lists this ribosomal RNA (467 nucleotides) under uncultured bacterium. RNAcentral describes it as "partial 16S ribosomal RNA". It matches the Rfam family "Bacterial small subunit ribosomal RNA", at positions 28 to 507 of the family's 1533-position model. The record is from RNAcentral.